CAGGCCUAACACAUGCAAGUCGAGGGGCAGCGGGAAGUUUGCUUGCAAGCUUCGCCGGCGACCGGCGCACGGGUGAGUAACGCGUAUCCAACCUGCCCCACGGUCGGGGACAGCCCGGCGAAAGUCGGAUUAACCCCCGAUGGUCCCGCAAGACGGCAUCAGAUUGCGGGUAAAGGCUCGUCCGCCGUGGGAUGGGGAUGCGUAGGAUUAGGCAGCAGGCGGGGUGACGGCCCACCUGGCCGGCGAUCCUUAGGGGUUCUGAGAGGAAGGUCCCCCACACUGGUACUGAGACACGGACCAGACUCCUACGGGAGGCAGCAGUGAGGAAUAUUGGUCAAUGGGCGGAAGCCUGAACCAGCCAAGUAGCGUGCAGGAAGACGGCCCUACGGGUUGUAAACUGCUUUUAUGCGGGGAUAAAGUGCGCCACGUGUGGCGUUUUGCAGGUACCGCAUGAAUAAGGACCGGCUAAUUCCGUGCCAGCAGCCGCGGUAAUACGGAAGGUCCGGGCGUUAUCCGGAUUUAUUGGGUUUAAAGGGAGCGCAGGCGGCUGUUUAAGCGUGCCGCGAAAUGCCGUGGCUCAACCAUGGCACUGCGGCGCGAACUGGGCGACUUGAGUCGGCGGAAGGUGCGCGGAAUUCGUGGUGUAGCGGUGAAAUGCUUAGAUAUCACGAGGAACUCCGAUUGCGAAGGCAGCGCGCCGCAGCUGUACUGACGCUCAUGCUCGAAGGCGCGGGUAUCGAACAGGAUUAGAUACCCUGGUAGUCCGCACGGUAAACGAUGGAUGCCCGCUGUUCGCGAUAUACAGUGAGCGGCCAAGAGAAAUCGUUAAGCAUCCCACCUGGGGAGUACGCCGGCAACGGUGAAACUCAAAGGAAUUGACGGGGGCCCGCACAAGCGGAGGAACAUGUGGUUUAAUUCGAUGAUACGCGAGGAACCUUACCCGGGCUUGAACUGCAGGAGAAGGAUACAGAGAUGUUGACGCCCUUCGGGGCUCCUGUGGAGGUGCUGCAUGGUUGUCGUCAGCUCGUGCCGUGAGGUGUCGGCUUAAGUGCCAUAACGAGCGCAACCCUUUUCGUCAGUUGCCAUCAGGUGAUGCUGGGCACUCUGGCGACACUGCCACCGUAAGGUGUGAGGAAGGUGGGGAUGACGUCAAAUCAGCACGGCCCUUACGUCCGGGGCUACACACGUGUUACAAUGGGGCAUACAGAAGGCCGGUCGCCCGCAAGAGCGAUCCAAUCUAAAAAGUGUCCCUCAGUUCGGAUUGGGGUCUGCAACCCGACCCCAUGAAGCUGGAUUCGCUAGUAAUCGCGCAUCAGCCAUGGCGCGGUGAAUACGUUCCCGG
Molecule: ribosomal RNA, 1342 nt
Filed under: uncultured rumen bacterium
Lineage: Bacteria
Description: bacterial SSU rRNA
Rfam family: Bacterial small subunit ribosomal RNA
Source: RNAcentral